RNAcentral lists this ribosomal RNA (193 nucleotides) under uncultured bacterium. RNAcentral describes it as "partial 16S ribosomal RNA". It matches the Rfam family "Bacterial small subunit ribosomal RNA", at positions 1306 to 1500 of the family's 1533-position model. The record is from RNAcentral.
UGCAACUCGACUCCAUGAAGUCGGAAUCGCUAGUAAUUCCAGAUCAGCAUGCUGGGGUGAAUGCGUUCCCGGGCCUUGUACACACCGCCCGUCACACCAUGGGAGUCGGAAAUGCCCGAAGUCUGUGACCCAACGAAAGAGGGAGCAGCCGAAGGCAGGUCUGAUAACUGGGGUGAAGUCGUAACAAGGUACC